Non-coding RNA from Misgurnus anguillicaudatus (oriental weatherfish), 832 nucleotides. The record is from RefSeq and is a predicted model, not a curated record. NCBI's taxonomy places the organism in Eukaryota, Metazoa, Chordata, Actinopteri, Cypriniformes, Cobitidae.
UUUGGUGUGUCUAAUAUUAGGCUACAGGAUAAUCUUGUAAUAAUAAAAGUUAAAAGUAAUAAUAAGUAAAAGCUUAUUUUCAUUUUUAGACAAUGCUUGUAUUAUAUGCAAAAAUACGCUUUUUAUAUCAAAGACUAUUCAACUUAGAGUUAAUUCAUGGUCAUCUUAACUGUGUAUUAAUUAAAAACAUUUACACCAUUAAAUUACACAUGGUAAUGUUAUCAAUAGUUGUCAGAUAAUAGCUAUUGAAAGAGUGGAUUUUUUUCUCCUUCAAUGCAUGUGUUAGCCACAGAUUGAAGAUUGUAAACAGUUUAUUUUAUUUUAAUUAACAGUUGAGUAACUUUUGGCCCUGAGUUAGAUGUUGAUUACCACUAAACCAGUCUAAAAAUCAGUCCAGUUUCCCCAGCUGUAAACCCAUUGGCUUUUAAAGUCUUUUUUUCUUAUAAUAAACUGACAUUGAUAACACAUUCAGUUUAUGUGUUUAUGAGUACACUUUCAGAAUGCUCUCAGUUACAUGAAGAUCCAUACGUAUGCAUCUGUGAGUGUGACUUUUGGCCAAUUUGAUCUUUUGCAAAUGCAAUGCAGUAUAGGGGCCUCCCUCCACCUGUCCACAGCACGCAUUUUAUUUCUGUGGUAAGAGGACUUGAAAUGACUCGAAACUAAAAUGGUAGGACUUUGGACUCGACUUGAGACUUGUUGGCUUUGACUUCUGACUCGACUCGGGACUUGCCUCAUCUUUGACUCGACUUGACUCGGGACUCGAAAGCAAAGACUUGAGACUUACUUGUGACUUGCAUAACAAUGACUUUGUCCCACCUCUGCUUAAGACAUA